This 445-nucleotide ribosomal RNA is filed under the name uncultured bacterium. Its description in RNAcentral is "partial 16S ribosomal RNA". It matches the Rfam family "Bacterial small subunit ribosomal RNA", at positions 354 to 796 of the family's 1533-position model. The record is from RNAcentral.
GUGAGGAAUAUUGCGCAAUGGAGGCAACUCUGACGCAGCCAUGCCGCGUGCAGGAAGAAGGCGCUACGCGUUGUAAACUGCUUUUAACCGGGAAGAAACCCCAGGACGUGUCCUGGGUUGACGGUACCGGAGGAAUAAGCACCGGCUAACUUCGUGCCAGCAGCCGCGGUAAUACGAAGGGUGCAAGCGUUAUCCGGAUUCAUUGGGUUUAAAGGGUGCGUAGGCGGAGCGUUAAGUCAGUGGUGAAAUCCUGCAGCUUAACUGUAGACUUGCCAUUGAUACUGGCGCUCUUGAGUGCGCUUGAAGUGGGCGGAAUGUGCCGUGUAGCGGUGAAAUGCUUAGAUAUGGCACAGAACACCAAUUGCGAAGGCAGCUCACAAAGCCAAUAUUGACGCUGAGGCACGAAAGUGUGGGGAUCAAACAGGAUUAGAUACCCUAGUAGUCC